AAUAUUUGUCAGCUAACAAUUGAAUGGAAGAGGAUUUCUUGAAUAAACAAAAUUUAGAAAAUUCUGUAUUCUUAAAAGACUAAGGGUCUGUUUGAUUUGCAGGACCAGCGUUUGGUUCGGUGGAAACGGAAUCCGAUUUCCAUUCCGGGCGGAAUGGCAAUCCCCCAUUUGAGGGAAUGGCCAUUACCGACCCACGCCCCCGGAAAAAUCAAAAUGACAAAAAACCCGCUAAAACCUCAUUCCCCUUUCUCUCUCGUCACUCCCUCCAUAGGCAGCUGAAGUUCGAAGUAUUGAUCUGAACUGAAACUCCGGCAACGGUGACGAUGAGACCAGACCAAACCACAGCAAGAAUGUUUGUAUCAAUAAAGAAAGUCAUACUAUCAAGGUCCCUUGAAUGGAACCAUCCAUGUAGUUGUUGGGGGAAGAGGCGCUAGCCUUGCAGAAUUCACUACAAUACAUACUAGAUGGAGUUAUUACAAGGACCAGGACUUGGGAUUCAUAAAGCUUACAACAUUUGACCACUCAAAUCUGUUGUUUGAGUACAAGAAUAGCAGUGAUGGAAAGGUCUAUGACUCCUUUAGAAUCUCACGAGAUUAUAGGGACAUUAUGGCUUGCAGUGUUGACAGUUGCCCAAGAAUGACAUUAGCUUCUUGAAGAGAAUACACUUGGGUAUCUAUGUAAACUUUUACUCGUAGUGGUAAAUUGGCACAUCUCUUUCAUGUUCCAGAGAAAAAUAAACUCUAGUAUCCUAGUCUUUGCAAACCAAGAGUCUAGACCAUGAAGAAAUAACUCGGUUUUCUGCAAAAUUGU
Nelumbo nucifera (sacred lotus) is the source of this 810-nucleotide long non-coding RNA. RefSeq lists it as uncharacterized. Lineage: Eukaryota; Viridiplantae; Streptophyta; Magnoliopsida; Proteales; Nelumbonaceae. The record is from RefSeq and is a predicted model, not a curated record.